Molecule: ribosomal RNA, 429 nt
Filed under: bacterium
Lineage: Bacteria
Description: partial 16S ribosomal RNA
Rfam family: Bacterial small subunit ribosomal RNA
Source: RNAcentral
UAGGGAAUCUUCGGCAAUGGGGGCAACCCUGACCGAGCAACGCCGCGUGAGUGAAGAAGGUUUUCGGAUCGUAAAGCUCUGUUGUAAGAGAAGAACGUGUGUGAGAGUGGAAAGUUCACACAGUGACGGUAACUUACCAGAAAGGGACGGCUAACUACGUGCCAGCAGCCGCGGUAAUACGUAGGUCCCGAGCGUUGUCCGGAGUUAUUGGGCGUAAAGCGAGCGCAGGCGGUUUAAUAAGUCUGAAGUUAAAGGCCGUGGCUUAACCAUUGUUCGCUUUGGAAACUGUUAAACUUGAGUGCAGAAGGGGAGAGUGGAAUUCCAUGUGUAGCGGUGAAAUGCGUAGAUAUAUGGAGGAACACCGGUGGCGAAAGCGGCUCUCUGGUCUGUAACUGACGCUGAGGCUCGAAAGCGUGGGGAGCAAACAGG